AUUGAACGCUGGCGGCAGGCUUAACACAUGCAAGUCGAGCGGGGAAGAGUAGCUUGCUACUUGACCUAGCGGCGGACGGGUGAGUAAUGCUUAGGAAUCUGCCUAUUAGUGGGGGACAACAUCUCGAAAGGGAUGCUAAUACCGCAUACGUCCUACGGGAGAAAGCAGGGGACCUUCGGGCCUUGCGCUAAUAGAUGAGCCUAAGUCGGAUUAGCUAGUUGGUGGGGUAAAGGCCUACCAAGGCGACGAUCUGUAGCGGGUCUGAGAGGAUGAUCCGCCAACAAUGGCACUACGCCCCGCCCAGGCCUCAACCGGACGCAGCAAGUGGGGAUAAUUGGCGACGGGGGGGAACCUGAUCCAGACGAGGCGCGGGUGUGGAGAAAGGCGUUUGGGUGUUAAACAAGUUAAGCGAGGAGGAGGCUACCGAGAUUAAUACUCUUGGAUAGUGGACGUUACUCGCAGAAUAAGCACCGGCUAACUCUGUG
This 485-nucleotide ribosomal RNA is filed under the name uncultured bacterium. RNAcentral describes it as "partial 16S ribosomal RNA". It matches the Rfam family "Bacterial small subunit ribosomal RNA", at positions 30 to 507 of the family's 1533-position model. The record is from RNAcentral.